AACGUAGGACGCAAGCGUUAUCCGGAGUUACUGGGCGUAAAGCGCGGGCAGGCGGUCUUGCCAGUCCGAUGUGAAAUCUCCUCGCUCAACGGGGAGCAGCCAUUGGAAACUACAAGACUGGAGUCUGACAGAGGUAGGCGGAAUUCCGGGUGGAGUGGUGAAAUGCGUAGAGAUCCGGAGGAACACCAGAGGCGAAGGCGGCCUACUGGGUCAGUACUGACGCUGAGCCGCGAAAGCCAGGGGAGCGAACGGG
Molecule: ribosomal RNA, 253 nt
Filed under: uncultured bacterium
Lineage: Bacteria
Description: partial 16S ribosomal RNA
Rfam family: Bacterial small subunit ribosomal RNA
Source: RNAcentral